GCGGCCGCACCUACCGCACGCUGCUGCAGCUCACCAGGAUGUACCCCGGCCUGCAGGUGUACACCUUCACGGAGCGCAUGAUGGCCUACUGCGACCAGAUCUUCCAGGACGAGACGGGCAAGAACCGGGAGAAGAGCCACCCCUCAGUGCCUUACCACUACUUUGAGAAGGGCCGGCUAGAUGAGUGUCAGAUGUACCUGGCACACGAGCAGGCGCCCCGAAGCGCCCACCGCUUCAUCACUGAGAAGGCGGUCUUCUCCCGCUGGGCCAAGAAGAGGCCCAUCGUGUUCGCCCAUCCGUCCUGGAGGACUGAGUAGCUUCCGUCGUCCUGCCAGUCGCCAUGCCGUUGCGAGGCCUCCGGGAUGUCCCAUCCCAAGCCAUCAC
Molecule: long non-coding RNA, 384 nt
Filed under: Homo sapiens (human)
Lineage: Eukaryota; Metazoa; Chordata; Mammalia; Primates; Hominidae
Description: non-protein coding lnc-ST6GALNAC6-2:1
Source: RNAcentral